UGAGAAUCGCAAUAUUUGAAGGAUGGACAGAAUUAUGACUGGCUCUCUCCCACAUCCCCACUGAAGCCCACAACAGUCAAUCAGAACCCAGAGAAUGAAACCUCCAGGGCACCCCCAUCACAGCAGGAGGAAGGGAAAGGCAGGAACUCAGCAUUUAAUAGCAAUUCUGAGGGGUGCUGGGCUCCCACAGUCCCUACUGACCACACGGGGAAUCGCAGUAUCUCAGCGGCUCUCAGCACAGGAGAUGGAAGAAAACGGCUGAUCACCAAGGCAAUUUUACCUUUGAAGCUCCUGCAGCUCUCCCAUGGAAACAGAAAGCAAACUGAUUUUGAUUAACUUUAGUACCUCCCAAUACAAGGCUGUUCAGCUGUCAAUGGCCCAGACAGGUGCUCCCUCCCGCCUGCUGACCUACCGUACCUCUGAAGUCUUCUCAACUUGAUUUGGAAGGUCUAGAGAUAUUUACAAAGCUGUGCAGUCAUGGGCCUGCCUAAUGCAUGAUACAUGCCUGAUACCAUGGAUGUUCUUGAUGGCGUAGCUGAUCUCUCGCCGGAGCUCCUUCUCGUCAAACUCCAUCUGCACCAGAAGAAAAGAUUGUGAGAAGGGGCCCGGCAACCCAUACAGCAGAGCACCAUGCAGAU
Molecule: long non-coding RNA, 638 nt
Organism: Mauremys reevesii (Reeves's turtle)
Lineage: Eukaryota; Metazoa; Chordata; Testudines; Geoemydidae
Exons: 3
Source: RefSeq, a predicted model, not a curated record